This is a long non-coding RNA of Gallus gallus (chicken), 2145 nucleotides long. The record is from Ensembl. Lineage: Eukaryota; Metazoa; Chordata; Aves; Galliformes; Phasianidae.
GGGCUUUUUUUCAUUAAUUAUUACAACCAGGAAACAUUUUCUCCUCUUUCAUUACCACCCCAACCCUGAGCCAAGUAUUAAAUAAGACUUAAUUUAAUUAGUUCUCACAUUCUCCCGUCUUGUAGGACUACUCAGUAACACAAGGUCCUCACCCAGCUCCCUUUCCUGCAGUCAGAUAAAAUCCUGCUGAUGGCACUGGGAACGUUCAGGCUCCUCAUUUACAUGCACAGUGAGGUGCCGUGAGACGCAGAGACAUUUCUAGCCCAGCUCACCUCAGCUCUGCCAUGCUCAGCUCUCCAAGGGGCUCGGCGGCAGAUGCUCCCCGUCUUCCUCUCACCCCCAGGUCUCCCCUGGGUCACCCAGACCUGCAGCAGAGAGCUCGGGGUUCACAGAGCAGUGAGCACUGCUGGCACCACCCCCUCCCUUCUCUCACCUUUUGGCACCGACGGAGGUGAGCUGGUUGUCCUUAGUUUUGUACUGAAGGGAGAGGGGAGGCGGGGCUCCAUCCUCUGCCACUCUGAAGGUGCUGGACCCAGCGCGGGAUGGGGCAAUCAGCCCUUCGGACAGCCACGGGCACGCAUCCUGCUCUAUCCUGUGCAGAUGCACGGUGAGACCCCCCAGUGAGACAGAGGUACCCCAGCAGAGGUGGCACCACAGCUACUUGUGUGGUGGUCACGGCAGCCGUAGCAAAUGGAAUCAGAGCAGGCUGGUAGCAGCUGCCAGGUGGGUUCCACAAUAGGGCCAGCUCUCUGCAAGGUUUUCAUUGAUGGCUCAGAGAUGGGAUGUGAGCACACAUUAAGUUUGCUGACAACACUCCAAUGGGAGGAGCUUAUGGUUCCCAGGAGGGCAGGAAGGCCUCUCAGGGAGUUCAUAACAAAUCAAAGGGCAGGGCCACCACCAGCUGCAUGAAGUGUAACGAGAGCAAGCAUUGGAUGCUGCACCUGUCAAGGGGCAGCCCUGGCUGUAUGGACAGACCGGGUAAUGAGAAGCUUCCCUGCAGCAAGGCUGCACGUUCAGUCUGAGCCAGCAGUGUGCCUGGAACCCAAAGGGCCAACUGUACCCAGGGGGACACCAGGCCCAGUGCUGCCACUGGGCAAGGAGAGGGAUCGUCCACUGUGUUCUGUGCUGUGCAUCCUCACCUCCAGCACUGCGUGAGGGUUGGGUGCCACAGUGCCAGAAGGACAGAAGCUCCAGCUGAGACAGUGAUCAACCUGUUAUUCCCACUCUACAUGGAUGUGACGCACAGCUUCUCCUUGCCAGGAGAAGGGAUGGGAGAAAGAACUUUGCUCCUGUCUUUACUGCAUCCAAUCUCAUUCGCGUUAGAUUAAAACCACCUCAUUGCCUGAGAAAAGCCAAACCUGGAUCUUCCUGUCACAGAGCUCACAGCCCCGCUGCUGCUGCAGACCAGCACGUGUCCUUCCCAUCACCGGAGCCCAGGGAGGUGCUGGGGAGAGGUCAGGCUCGAGGAGCUGCCGCUGGUUUUGCUUUGCAGGGGCACCUUAUCCUGUGCAGGCAGCAGCAGAUGACCUGGAGAAGGCAGAAAGUGAGAGGGAAGGAGGAGGGGGGGCUGUGGGCGAAGGCGUAGGUGGUGCCGCGUCGCACGCUCCUGCUGGAGCCGGGAAGGGAUGUAGAGCGCCCGCUUCGCAGUCCUACGCGCUCCCUGGGACCAUCUGUCCUCCCCCAGGCGGCAGCCCCGGGUCGGGCGAGGGGUCCUGCCGGGGGGGGAAGGGGAGAGGGGCAGGCGGUGCUGGAGAGCACGAGCCUUCCUGCGCUGCCCUGAACGGCUUUCAGCAGCCUGCACGGAGCGGAUUUCACAGCCGUUUAAGAAAUAGGGACCUUCGCGUGAAGAGCUGGAUGGCUGUGCCCGAAUUCAAAGGAGGACCCGGGCUUCUUCCUCUGCACAGCCCCGCCGCCUGCCUCACAGGCUCUGCUGUCUCCCACGGAGAUGAGGACGGAGCUCUCCGAGUUCCCCACACUCACGCAAAUGGCUGGAAAGGAUUCAACGCGGGGCUGGGCGCCUACAGAACAGCCAAAGCCUGGCUGUGCCGGCACAGCUGCGGCAGGCAACGCUGUUCCCCCCGAGCGGACUCGCUCCGAAGCUCCCCGUGAAGCGCAGCGUUUGGGUGCAGCAGCAGCCGGAAGGGC